Molecule: small RNA, 135 nt
Filed under: Sedimenticola sp.
Lineage: Bacteria; Pseudomonadati; Pseudomonadota; Gammaproteobacteria; Chromatiales; Sedimenticolaceae
Description: RtT sRNA
Rfam family: RtT RNA
About the family: This family represents a bacterial cis-regulatory element known as RtT RNA. The exact function of RtT is unknown although it is thought that it may be involved in changing the cellular response in relation to amino acid starvation.
Source: RNAcentral
CGGGGUGGAUAUCGGGGGAGGGUGAGAACCUGAAGGUUCGACAAAAUCGCGGGAGCGAUUUUGAUCGCCGCGAAGUUUGCGGCGACCCGGAGGGCGGAGAGCCGCAGGCUCGGAGUAAUCCUCCCCCCUCCACCA